AGCAGCCGCGGUAAUUCCAGCUCCAAUAGCGUAUAUUAAAGUUGUUGCAGUUAAAAAGCUCGUAGUUGAAUUUCGGGAUCAAUUGAUUGGUCAUGCCUUGGUAUGUACUGGUCAUAUUGGUUCUCACCUUCUAAUGAACCAUAAUGUCAUUUACUUGAUGUUAUGGGGAAUUAGGACUGUUACCUUGAAAAAAUUAGAGUGUUUAAAGCAGGCUUACGCUUGAAUACAUUAGCAUGGAAUAAUGAAAUAGGACAUCGCAUUCUAUUUUGUUGGUUUCUAGGAUCGAUGUAAUGAUUAAUAGGGAUAGUUGGGGGCAUUAGUAUUCAAUUGUCAGAGGUGAAAUUCUUGGAUUUAUUGAAGACUAACUACUGCGAAAGCAUUUGCCAAGGAUGUUUUCAUUAAUCAAGAACGAAAGUUAGGGGAUCGAAGACGAUCAGAUACCGUCGUAGUCUUAACCAUAAACUAUGCCGACUAGGGAUCGGAUGAUGUUAAUUUUUAAAUGACUCAUUC
This 510-nucleotide small RNA is filed under the name uncultured Glomus. Its description in RNAcentral is "SSU rRNA". It matches the Rfam family "Eukaryotic small subunit ribosomal RNA", at positions 569 to 1081 of the family's 1831-position model. Lineage: Eukaryota; Fungi; Glomeromycota; Glomeromycetes; Glomerales; Glomeraceae. The record is from RNAcentral.